Sabethes cyaneus is the source of this 1111-nucleotide long non-coding RNA. RefSeq lists it as uncharacterized. The transcript has 5 exons. The record is from RefSeq and is a predicted model, not a curated record. NCBI's taxonomy places the organism in Eukaryota, Metazoa, Arthropoda, Insecta, Diptera, Culicidae.
UAGGCUACGUCACUGGAAAAUGCAGUUCGUUUAAGGCGUGACCAAUACUUUCUCGCUCAGCGUACAGGAAAUAUUGUUUCAAUGCAAUGAGGACAGUUGGUGGAACAAACAUCGAAAGUCUGGACAAGUAAGCUCGCAUUUUUCGUACAAUACGGUUUAUAAAAACAUGAGUCCUACGUCAAAAUUCCACUAUUAAUUUUAUUCACGACAGAAAUACACGAUGCAAAUCACAAAACUGCUUAAAGAUCGCCCAACGAGCCCAAGAAGAAAAAUUAUAGCGAUGGUUAUUAAGUCUAUUACAACAUUUAUAAGUACCUAUAAGCGUUACCAAGUAACCAAGAGAAAACUCACGACAAAAAUAUUAAUCAACCACAAGAAGAGUAUACCAUAAAGCCUAAUGCUGAACAAACAAUUUUCAUAAACUUUCUCUGUACACAUCUAGGACAAGGAAUAGCGCACGCUUGCCAAUUAUCACCGAAAUCAGUGAGCAAAUUAAAUUUGUUUUCAUCGAACAGCUUACAAGAAUCCGGCGGAGGUGCAUCCACUCUGUCCAAAAUCAAUUUAGCGUCCUGUCCAAGCCGCAUCCUGGCCUCGUGAAAGUGAAAGAUGACCACGACAGUGACGACUUCGAUGAUAUCAAACACGCUGCAUCUUCAAUUGUCGACGGUGGUGUGGAACUGGAACCGAACGACAGGCCGAUACUGCUGGAUGUGCUUAGAAAGCGAACAUUUUCAGUCGAAGUACAUUCUCUUCAACGAACGCUACUAAGCUACAAAGAAACGAAAGACUGCUGCCAAAUUUACGCCAACGACGACUGCUACUCGUUAUUAAGUAGCAAUCGUGAUCUGAUCAAGGAUGCCGUUUCGCUUGGCCAUUGCCUCUGGAUAAAAUGAUUGAGCAUAUUUACUUAGCAUCGACAACAUUGGGAAGGUUCUUAUUACAUUUUAAUAUUAUGUACCGUGCAAGCACCAUAUUCAAAACAGUGCCUAAUUCUGAACAGUUUCAUUAUUCAUAAAUAUUAACAAAAUUCUAGUUAUUUAAACAAAUUAAUCACUACAUCUGAUGAUUUCAUAUUACUAAAAUGGUUUAAAUAGCUAGAGUUUUGUCAAUA